ACGGAAGGCAGCAGUGGGGAAUAUUGCACAAUGGGCGCAAGCCUGAUGCAGCGAUGCCGCGUGAGGGAAGAAGGUUUUCGGUAUGUAAAGCUCUUUAAGCAGGGAAGAUAAUGACGGUACCUGCAGAAUAAGCCCCGGCUAACUACGUGCCAGCAGCCGCGGUAAUACGUAGGGGGCAAGCGUUAUCCGGAUUUACUGGGUGUAAAGGGAGCGUAGACGGCACAGCAAGUCUGAAGUGAAAUGUAGGGGCUUAACCCCUGAACUGCUUUGGAAACUGUUGGGCUUGAGUACCGGAGGGGCAGGCGGAAUUCCUGGUGUAGCGGUGAAAUGCGUAGAUAUCAGGAAGAACGCCGGUGGCGAAGGCGGCCUGCUGGACGGUAACUGACGUUGAUGCUCGAAAGCGUGGGGAGCAAACAGGAUUAGAUACCCUGGUA
This 434-nucleotide ribosomal RNA is filed under the name uncultured Lachnospiraceae bacterium. RNAcentral's name for it is "partial 16S ribosomal RNA". It matches the Rfam family "Bacterial small subunit ribosomal RNA", at positions 341 to 792 of the family's 1533-position model. Lineage: Bacteria; Bacillati; Bacillota; Clostridia; Lachnospirales; Lachnospiraceae. The record is from RNAcentral.